UUACCCCAUGUAUUUAAGUUCGAGUCUGUGCUGUCUGUCUUUGUCCGAGAUUGUACAUCAACACUUGUGCUACCUUUGUUCCUGCCUGCCCCUUGGAUUUUGAUUUAAAGAACUGCUGUUUGAGUUUACUCUUCGUCUCCUUGUUCCUCACUGCUCUCCAUAGAUGAUAAAAGAUGAAAUAUUUAGAUUAAAUAAACGUUGAAAGAGGGAUCUGAGCCAUAUCUGGCAAACACCCACAAUAUUAUGGCUGCUACUUUUGGUUUGGCACUGACUGAAAGCUGGCAGACACCCGGAACAAACCCGUUGUUUGUCAGAGGUGUCACACGACGAGAGCACCGCAUCCCUGUCCUCUCAUGCUCCUCAUUUCCUCUUCAAGCAAAGCUUGUUUAGAGUGGGCGUCGGCCGUGUGUGUGUGUGUGUGUGAUAGGGAGCCUGAGGGAUGUGAGUCGGCACGGCUCUCAGAGUAAUUGAAAAUGUGACCUAGAAAAUGUUUGCCCAGCAGAGCAUGAAAGUUACCUCCGGAGUGCCGGCUGAAGCUCACCUGUGGUGCGGACUGGGAGGGCCUGGGAAUGCUGGGAUAUCGGGCUGAGAGCCACUUUAUCCCUGCAGAGCCAUGCACACCGACGUCUCAUGCAUUAUUCACAGCCUCUAAAUAAGCACAGAUCAGACCACUAAAACCCAACCUGCUGGCCCUUUCCUGAGGAGUACCUCUCUUACCACUGACCUCUGCAAGGGCAUCGCAGAUCUGUAAGUGAGUGAGUGUAUGUGUAGGCCAAUGUGUGAAAGAGAAAGAGACAGGAGAGUUUAGAUUGACAGUAAAAUAAAUAUAGUGCAUUUCAUAACUCUGUACUUUUUAAUGCGUUGUUUAAAAACAAUUAUG
Molecule: long non-coding RNA, 880 nt
Organism: Sinocyclocheilus anshuiensis
Lineage: Eukaryota; Metazoa; Chordata; Actinopteri; Cypriniformes; Cyprinidae
Source: Ensembl